UCCUACACUGAGCUUUCUAAUCAGAAUUUGGAUCCCGGAAUAUUUGGAGUGCUGCCAAGUUGCCAGGUGGAAAAUUCUAUACCAUGAAAUAUUGUUUCUGGCACAAAAAUUGUUAAGAAUACCGGGUCUAAUUGCCACACACACCCAUGCAUAUGUUUCAUACAGAACUAAUGAGUUCGGUGUUCUCAGCUGGGCUCUAAGUCAGCCUCAGCAUCCUGAAACUUCUGGUCCUCAAUGCGUAAUAACAGAUAGCAAAGCAGGGUUAGGGGUUUCUGCUGAGUGGGGAAGAGGAAUAUUGUUUCUGGCACAAAAUUGUUAAGAAUACCGGGUCUAAUUGCCACACACACCUAUGCAUAUGUUUCAUACAGAACUAAUGAGUUCGGUGUUCUCAGCUGGGCUCUAAGUCAGCCUCAGCAUCCCGAAACUUCUGGUCCUCAAUGCGUAAUAACAGAUAGCAAAGCAGGGUUAGGGGUUUCUGCUGAGUGGGGAAGAGGAAUUC
RNAcentral lists this long non-coding RNA (499 nucleotides) under Rattus norvegicus (Norway rat). RNAcentral's name for it is "long non-coding RNA NONRATT014185". Lineage: Eukaryota; Metazoa; Chordata; Mammalia; Rodentia; Muridae. The record is from RNAcentral.